Molecule: long non-coding RNA, 1567 nt
Organism: Homo sapiens (human)
Lineage: Eukaryota; Metazoa; Chordata; Mammalia; Primates; Hominidae
Gene: RNASEH2B-AS1
Product: RNASEH2B antisense RNA 1
Source: Ensembl
CCUGCCUCGCCACUGCAGGCCUGUCCCUUUGCUUUCUUAAAACUGCGCACCGUCUGAGGCCACUUCGAGCCUACUGGAUCCCUGGUUCCAACCCAGUAGGAUCACAGAAGCAGGGCCAGCUGCCAGGAGAAAAAGUUGUUCUCUUCUACCAAAUUUUCCUGCCAUCAAAUGCUCAUUGAGUGACAAUAGAGAAAGCACCAUCAUCCUGAAGCAUCAGAUUGGGAGAAAAGUCCGCUCUCGAGAGCAUCAACUAUGUAGAAAGGGGACCAAGUAAAGGCAAAAUAGACCUUCAGAGAAAUAAAGUCUGGGAAAUUGACUAGAUCCUCACUGAAAGAACUACUAAAGGAUGUACUUAUGGAAGAAGAAAAUUACAAAGUGAAAGAACUGGGAUGCAAGAAGUAAUGUUCCCAACAUGAUGUGAACAACAUCUGUGCUGGUUGAAUGAAUGAAUGGUGUUGAAAGCAUCUACAUCAGGGGUGUCCAAUCUUUCAGCUUCCCUGGGCUACACUGGAAGAAGAAUAAUUUUCUUGCACCACAUAUAAAAUACACUAACACUACUGAUAGCUGAUGAGCUAAAAAAAAAAAAUCGCAAAAAAAUCUCAUGUUUUAAGAAAGUUUAUGAAUUUGUGUUGGGCCACAUCCAAAGCCAUCCUGGGCUGCAUGCAGCCUGCAGGCCAUGGGUUGGACAAGCUUGACUACAGCUUUAAAGUGAUCUUAAUCUAAUCAAUUCUUCCCCAUUCAGAAGAAACCUACUACAUCAGAGUCUAUUGAGAAUCUAUCUCCCUAAUCACCCUCAGGCACAGGGUUAUUAUGUAUUGAUAUCAUACACACUAAAAAAUUCCAUCAUACAGGUCUAGAAAUACUUCCAUAAUACAGUAAUAUUUUAAUAGAGUCAUAACACACAGACAGCCACCCAUUCUGCCUGUAGCCAGUCAUGGAGCAAUACAUUUUGUACAUAACCUGUAAUUUCUUCUGGAGAGUGUAAUUACAAUGCCAAUAUGACAUUUUAUUUUUAUUAUUAUUAUUUAGUUAGUUAGUUAGUUACUUUUUGAGACAGAGUCUCACUCUGUCGCCAGGCUGGAGUGCAGUGGUGUGAUCUCGGCUCACUGCAACCUCUGCCUCCCGGGUUCAAGUGAUUCUUCUGCCUCAGCCUCCCGAGUAGCUGGGACUAUGGGUGCCCACCACCACACCUGGCUAAUUUUUGUAUUUUUAGUAGAGAUGGGGUUUCACCAUGUUAGCCAGGAUGGUCUAGGGGUUGAUAAACUACAGUGCACAGGCCAAAUCUGGUUUACUGCCUGAUUUUGUAAAUAAAGUUUUAUUGGAACACAGCCUUGCCCAUUUAUUUACUUAUUGUCUCUGACUGCUUUCAUGCUACAAUAGAGUAGUUGCAACAGAAACUAUAGUCUGCAAAGCCUAAACUAUUUACAACCUGGACCUUUAGAGAAAGUUUGCUGACUCUUUUUUUAAUGGAUAAACUAAAAGUAUGUAAGUAAACAUGAUUUCAUGUCUUAUGAUAUGUCAGGUGAAUGGUACAAUCCUUUGGUUUAAGUUCUUAGUAUUAUACCUA